RNAcentral lists this unclassified non-coding RNA (284 nucleotides) under Hypoxylon sp. RNAcentral's name for it is "partial internal transcribed spacer region". The stretch from base 1 to 46 matches the Rfam family "Eukaryotic small subunit ribosomal RNA", at positions 1786 to 1831 of the family's 1831-position model. The record is from RNAcentral. Lineage: Eukaryota; Fungi; Ascomycota; Sordariomycetes; Xylariales; Hypoxylaceae.
AAGUCGUAACAAGGUCUCCGUUGGUGAACCAGCGGAGGGAUCAUUACUGAGUUAAUCAAAACUCCCAACCCUUUGUGAACUUACCACUGUUGCCUCGGCGUCGGCUGCAGCUACCAUGUAGUGACCCUGUAGCUGGUUACCCUGUAGACAGCUACCCGGAACCUGCCUCGUAGUGCGCUUAGGCCCGCCGGAGGACCGUCUAACUCUUAUUUUAAAAACUGUGAAUCUCUGAAUGCUUCAACUGAAAUAAGUUAAAACUUUCAACAACGGAUCUCUUGGUUCUG